UAUCAGAACAAACUUCCUUUGCUUGAGUUGAACUCCUUCCCCACGUUUCCAAAGUUUCAAAUAUAUAAACCCUUAGGAAAAAGAUGCAGCCUCUCAGAAUGUGGAAUCAUGAGAAGGUGAGUGUUGAACAAGAUGGAGAAGCAGGAUGUUAUCAGUUUUGGGACAAGUACCAGGCCAGAUUACUCUCAAUCAUAAUACAUUUAUACAAGAACUCGCUCACACACAACUUUUGUGCCUAAGUAUUGAUUGUAAAAGUUGUAUAAAUGAAGAUAUUCUUGCAAA
This is a long non-coding RNA of Nicotiana tabacum (common tobacco), 282 nucleotides long. RefSeq lists it as uncharacterized. The record is from RefSeq and is a predicted model, not a curated record. NCBI's taxonomy places the organism in Eukaryota, Viridiplantae, Streptophyta, Magnoliopsida, Solanales, Solanaceae.